RNAcentral lists this ribosomal RNA (1212 nucleotides) under Oxydothis palmicola. RNAcentral's name for it is "eukaryotic LSU rRNA". It matches the Rfam family "Eukaryotic large subunit ribosomal RNA", at positions 58 to 1413 of the family's 3401-position model. The record is from RNAcentral. Lineage: Eukaryota; Fungi; Ascomycota; Sordariomycetes; Amphisphaeriales; Oxydothidaceae.
GGAGCAGACAACAGGGAUUGCCCUAGUAACGGCGAGUGAAGCGGCAACAGCUCAAAUUUGAAAUCUGGCCCUCGGGUCCGAGUUGUAAUUUGUAGAGGAUGUUUUUGGCGCGGUGCCUUCCGAGUUCCCUGGAACGGGACGCCUUAGAGGGUGAGAGCCCCGUACGGUUGGACGCUAAGCCUCUGUAAAACUCCUUCGACGAGUCGAGUAGUUUGGGAAUGCUGCUCAAAAUGGGAGGUAAAUUCCUUCUAAAGCUAAAUACCGGCCAGAGACCGAUAGCGCACAAGUAGAGUGAUCGAAAGAUGAAAAGCACUUUGAAAAGAGGGUUAAAUAGCACGUGAAAUUGUUGAAAGGGAAGCGUUUAUGACCAGACUUUUUCCUGGCGGAUCAUCCGGUGUUUUCACCGGUGCACUUCGCCUGGUUUAGGCCAGCAUCGGUUUCCGUAGGGGGAUAAAAGCUUCGGGAAUGUGGCUCCCUCGGGAGUGUUAUAGCCUGUUGCAUAAUACCCUUAUGGGGACCGAGGUACGCGCUCUGCAAGGAUGCUGGCGUAAUGGUCAUCAACGACCCGUCUUGAAACACGGACCAAGGAGUCGAACAUUUAUGCGAGUGUUUGGGUGUUAAACCCUCACGCGUAAUGAAAGUGAACGGAGGUGAGAGCCCUCGGGUGCAUCAUCGACCGAUCCUGAUGUCUUCGGAUGGAUUUGAGUAAGAGCAUAACUGUUCGGACCCGAAAGAUGGUGAACUAUGCGUGGAUAGGGUGAAGCCAGAGGAAACUCUGGUGGAGGCUCGCAGCGGUUCUGACGUGCAAAUCGAUCGUCAAAUCUGCGCAUGGGGGCGAAAGACUAAUCGAACCAUUGAAAACCAGCGGUAAAUUUGAUUUACUAGGUGGUUAAGAGGUGGCCCGGCAGGGCAGAACACCUAGGCUGAGUCGAGUUACCCGGGAGCUACCCGGUAACGAAUCUCGGCCGACACCGCUAAAUUGCGGGGACAUCCUUUAGAAGGCUCCAGGCUACCGCGGCGUGCUGAAAAGCCCGUCCGCACCGAGGUUAGCGACCUUGGGUACGGUAAUAACGCCUGCGAGUUGGGACGACCUGCAGCCAACCCCGUUAACCAGGGGAGAGUUCACUGACUAUACAGCGGUGGGUUAGCGCUAAGCUAGCCUAAGACAUAGUCGAUCUACGGCCCUGAAAAGGAGCCUGCAAAUGAGCUAUG